AAUUAAACCUCUCUUCUUUAUAAGUUACCUUGUCUCAGGUAGUUCUUUAUAGCAGUGUGAAAACAGACUAACACAAAGGCCGUCUUUCAUGUGGAACUUGUUUUUGCGUAUUGGAAACAUUGCUAAUCUGUGUUUGGGAAUGAAUCUUACCUUUUUAUAGAGUAUCAGUGGGAUCAGGUGUUUGGGAUUUGGAGCUGUCCUUUAAAAUAACUUUGACAAGUUUGAUUCUAUCUUGGCUUUCUUGCGUUUACAUUCUUAGUGUUCAUUGUAUUUUUUUGUUACAGUGCUUUUUUUGGGCACUAACAUGUUAAAAACAGAUGUAGAGCACCAUCAGAAGGUAUUCUCUUUUAAGAACUUUAAAUAGAAAAAAACAGUAGAACAAUGUAUUAAUCCAAAAGGUGGCUCUUUGAAAAAAAAUUGAACUACACUAAUGACAUUUGUAAACAAUGAGGUAGUCUCAAGAAAAAGAUGAAAGUACAAAUAUACAAAAUAAGUCCUGAGAAGAGGAGAUCAUAAAAACAGAUAAUUUGAAGAAUGUUAGGAGACUACUGAACUCUUUUAAAAUAAACUUUAAAACUUUGAUGAAAAUGAUAAUUUUUAGGAAAAUAUAAGUAAUCCAGAUUGACCCCAGAAGAGGUAGAAAAUUUAAGCAGGUUGAUUUUUAUAGAAGAAAUAAAGCUAUGAAAGAGUUACCUCCUCUCAAAGCAUUGUCUAGUUUCACCAAGAUUAUCUACCAAAUAUUUAAAGAGCAGAUAAUUCCAGAGCAGGAAUAAAUGGCUAUUUCCUUGACAUAGCAUAUCUAUUUGAACCCAAAAGCCCAUUUUAGGCUUAAUGAAGAAACGUUGAGAUUUCCACUGAUGUUCAGACCAAGACGAGGAGUGAGAACAGCCUAGUACCUUUUACAGUGUGCACUGUUAGCAAAAUUUUGGUGUUAUCUUAGUUUUAAUCCCACCUUUAAAAAUAAAUUCUACCUUUUUUGUAUUAAGGAAACUUCCACCUUUUUAUUAAGUGUGAUCUAGUCGUUGAUUUAUACUUUGUAAGAAGGUAAGAUUCAAACCUUUAAACUUCUUAAUGUUUAAUUUCUCCCAGGCCACCUAAAUUGGAUUAUAACAUGAAUUGGCCUACUUUGAAUGAUAGAUUAUUAUUUUACAUUGUAGGUACAGCCAGUGUGAUCAGACAAAGCAAUUCGAGAACUACAAAAGAGGAAAAAAGAUCAGAAGUUCUUAAAUACAUAAGGGAAUGCAGCAUUUGAUAAAGGUGGUAUCUCAAGUCAGUGGGGAAAAGGUGAAAUAUUCAAUAAAUGGUAUUGGGACAACUGGGUAGCCAUAUGGAAAAAAAGGUUGGAUCUCUACACCGUAAGCCAGGAUAAAUUUCAGUGUUUGAUGGAAUAAAUUCCAGAUAUAUGAUGAUAAUAGCUCACACUUGUUAAGUGUCUUGUAUGCCAGGCACUGUAGUAAUUUACUAAUGCAUUUAAUCCUUACGGUAACCCAAAGAAGUAGUAACUGUUAUCACCACUUAUAGAUGUGGAAACUGAGGCCCAUAGAUGUUAGGCAGUUUAAACAACAUACAUUGCUAAUAAGUAGUGGAGCUGGGAUAUGAACGUAGUCAGUUUGGCUAUAGAGUUUCUGGCCUUAACUCCUAUACUCUUUUUCCAUUUAGGUUAUUGUUAAAAAUGAAACAGUAUGAGAACAGAAUGUUUUUAUAAUCUGGGUGUGAGGAAAGCCAUGACUUAACCAUGACUUGAAAAUCGGAAAACGUAAGACUGAUAAAUUAGAUUAUAUCACAGUAAAAAGACUGAUAAAUUAGAUCAUAUCACAGUAAAAUUCUUCUGCAUGGCAAAAAUCAUCAUAAGCAAAGCCAAAAGACAAACGAUGGUAAAUAGUUGCAAUUCAUAUCAUAGGUGAAGGACCAAUCUUUUUAAUUAUAUAAGAAGCUUCUAGAAAUAAAAACACCAACAUCCAUUGGCAAGGUAGACGUUAGGUUAUGAACAGACCGUUUACAGAAAAGUACAAUUGGCUUUUAAGCAUAUAAAAAGAUGCUCAACUUCACUUAUAAUGAGAAUGCAAAUACCAUUUUUCAUGUUUCAGACUGGCAGAAAUCCAGAACUUUGACGAUACACUGUGUUGGUAAAUUCUUAAGGAAAAAUACACUCUUGUACAUGGCUGGCAAGAGUAUAAAUUGGCUCAACUCCUAUGGAAGGCAAUUUGGUUGUAUCUAUCAAAAAUUCAAAUGCAUAUACCUUUUGACCCAGGAAUUCAAUUUAUGGGAAUUUAUCGUCUGGACAUAACUGCUAUGCAUGCCAAAUGAUGACUGCACCAGGUUAUUCACUACAGCUUUGUUUGCAAUAGCACAAGACUGGAAACAACCCAGGUGCCUAUCAGUAGUGGCUAGUUACAUAAAUUACAGUUCAUUGUCACAAUGGAUAUGCAGCUGUAAAAAAGAAUGUGGAACAUCUGUGUGAAUGGGUAUGGAGGGAUUGCCAAGAUGUAGCAUUAAGUGAAAAAAGCAAGGUCUCAACAGUGUAUAUAUACAGUAUGCUAACUUUUCUGUGAACAGAAGGGAAAAUAAUAUGUAUAGAGAAACUUUGAAAGGAUAGCUAAGAAAUUAAUGGCUGAGGAGGGGGCUGUGUAAUGAGGAUGGAUGGAAGACAUAGACUUUUGAUGCUUUUUUGUAACUUGCUUCUUGUAAUGUGACUGCAUUUGUGAAUUACAUAACUCCACUUUGAAGAUGAUCUGUCUCGCUGUUUUUAGUCUAAUUGACCACCUUUCUGUCAUCUUUUGUCAUACUUACUUGAAGUUUUUUUUUUUUUCAAUUUUGCUCUUUCUUGUCAAGUACAUCUUUUUUCUGCAACUUGCUUUUGUAAUCAAAAUCUACAUUUUGGCGUGAUUGAAAAAUCAAAAUUUAGAGAGUGAAAUCGGAAUAAGUUAAUCCAAGUCAUUUUACAUUUCAUAAAUAUUCAUUUUUAUUGAAGCAUCAAUUGUGAUGGCAUCAUUUAUACAAAGAACAGAUCUUUGAGGACAAAUUCCUUCCACUAUUAUGUAGAAGGCAUUAUGUGUAUUUCUUGUAUUGUGAGUGAUGUACGUUGAUUUUUAAAAGAAAAUGAUAGAAAACAGUUUUCCUUUUAGAAAAGUUUUCCCCAAUGUGUGAUUAAUUUCUAAAUUGUAGGAUACAGAAUUGUUAUUUCCCCUCUUUGCAUCCUGCCCAGAGCUCUUUGAUUUUACAACCUGUUCCAGAACGUUUAGUGUUUCCCUGAAGUCCCUGGGAUGAGGGUAUUCUGUACCUCCCACAAUGUGAUCCUUACCUGCUUUCCCAGUCUUUUUCUCCACUGUGUCCCUGUAGAACCCCAUCUUCUGCCUAAUGUGUUUCACUUUUCUGCCUCUGUAUUGCUCACACGACCAUACCCAUAGCGUGGAUUGCACACUUGGAUCUUUUUACUUAGUCAUUCAUUAAAUGUCUAUUAAAGGCCUGCUUAGGAAAGACCUGUAUUGUCCAUAUAUCCUUAUCUUCAAGGAAGCAUCCUUGAAAUUUGCCCUGCUCUAAUUCCCCUUCUCCCGGAAACCCAUCCUUUUUCUCUCCAACCUAAGUGAUCUCCUUCUUCUCUACUGGACAAAUAGCUAUGUACUACUUUAUGAAUCCUUUCUAUGGCAUCUUGCGUUGCUAAUUAGAUGUCUUAUUGCACGGAACUCGCACAAUCUGUCUCAUCUCCCCACGUAGUGAGCUCACAGCACUUCACCAAGAGUGCUGCCCACCAAGAACUCACAGCACUUCACCAAGAGUGCAGUCAAUAGUGUUUUAUGAACGUUGGGAAGAAUAUGGUUAAUGCCUGAGAACAAAGACCAGAAAUGUCAUCUUUUCGUGUGACCAUCAUGAUACAGAGAAGUUAACAGAGCUGCCCCAUUGUCCAUGGGGCAUGUUCCGAGUUUUUCCAGUAGUGGUGAUAGAUUUUGGCUGAUUUCUCUGAACUUUUCCCUGAGUUAUUUUUGUGACUUUGGCCAGGAUGAAGGGUGGGGAACCCCUCAUCUUUAAAUCUCUGAGCAGAGACUUGCUAGGCAUCUGCAGCAGUGGUGGGGAAGAGGUCAUUAAGCUCAGUGCAGUCCACGUGGGGCCUUGGCCUGCGAUCUUCAGGCUCAGGAGUUAUUGUGAGCCCCUGCGUUGGGUGGGGGAAGGGAGGAAAGGAGGACAGCUGAGGCAAGGAGUGGGAGCCUGGCUGGGGGAGGAGACAUCAGCCUGGGGCAUGGGUCUUAUGAGGGUGAGUGGCCGCCAGGCCCUCAGCAAGGACCAGAGUGGAAGCCUCUUUGCUAAGCUUGGUCUGGCUCCUGCAUGGGUCCCAGCAGCGUGCCAUCAAUCAUCCGUUCCUCCUUGGCAGAUGGCCAGGCUCCUUCCCAUGCAGCAGCAGCAGCAGCUGGCUGGCCCUGCCCUCCUGUUUCAGCUGACAUCGGCAACCCUCUGGGGAUGUAUGGAAGACUGAAUUCUACAAGAGAUGCUUUCAGGAUGUCAGUGCAUGAUGAAUGAAAGUUGUGGAUCUUCUACAUGCUGCUCUUAUCUUCCUCACAUCAUAAACUCCAAGUUUGAGAGCAUCACAAUAUUCAUCGAUAUGUAGCACUACACAAUGAACUGAGGGCAGGAAUUGACUUACUCUUUGUACCCGGAACACAGUAAGCUGAUGAUAAAUACUUGUUGAAAGACUGUAGCAUAUAACCUGUUGAGUUGUUUGAGAGGCCAGGGUUCCUCUGAGCAGUAUCAUGCCAACAGACACACGCAUGUUAUGUAUUAUGGCACAUAAUCGGUAAGUCCAUAACUGUUGGAGUAAUGGGGACGAGCAUAGUGCACUGAAGGGUACAGGAAGCAUCGGGGUUUGGGGGCUCCGGCCUACAUUUGUGGUUAUGUUACUGGUUUUUCCUAUCGCAUCAGAAAACUUUAUUAACUAGAUGGAAUUUCUGCAGCCAGAUGAAAAUGUAUGUGAUAGGAGUGGAUCGUGUGAUAGGAGUGGAUCGUGUUAGCUGCGUGAGAUUGCUAGUGAGGCACUGAGUUGUCAUCAGGUAGCAAUUCCACCAUUUCCACUGGAAUUCCUUAGCACAUUUUAAGCUAAAAGAGGUAAGAAGUCAGAAGGGUAAGAGUCUGGCCAUGGCUUUGCUUUCUUCUCUCACGCUUCCAACCACCCUCGUCUGAAAGCUACAUUUCACCUUGUGAAAGUUCUGCCCUUCUGUUUCCAAAUACGAGAUGCUGUAAGCCUGAACUCAGAUCUAAAACCAAACUUAGCAUUUUGUUUCCAAAAGAUUGACUACAUAUUUUAAUUUCCCAACCUCUCUCAGUGGCACUGCUCUCCUCUCAAAUCCCAGAAGCCGCAGUCAGGGUCAUCUUUGAGCCUUACCUCUACAUUUGAGUUGUCCUUCCUCCCAUGAGUCCCGAUGACUUCUUUUCUUCAUUGGUCUCUGAUCUGUCUUCACUCUCCCCUGCCUGAGCUGUUCAGAGCAUUAUCAACAUCUACCUAAAAUUUGAAUUUCAUUCUCUCACUGUUUAGGGAACAGCAGCGACUUGGACCUGUCCAAUGACACUCUUCAAUGCUGGACACUUGCUGUAAUUUGCUGCUGGCCUCAGUGUUUCAGAUCUCCACUUCCACCCCGAGGCUGGCUCCUGCUCUGAGCUCCUUCCUUGCAGCUCCGGAGGCUGGCAAGUCCAUGAUCACCGUCAACAUGUCAGCAAGUUCAGUUGUCUGCUGAAGGCUGUUCUCUGCUUCAAAGAUGGUUCCUCUGGAUUGGAGAAACAGUGUGUCCUCACAUGGCAGAAGAACAGAAAAGUGAGCUAGCUGAAUGCUCUGUGAAGCCUCCUUUAUAAGGGCUUUAUUCUCAUCCAUGAGGGAUGAGCCCUCAUGACCUAAUCACCUCUUAAGGGUACCUCCUCUUAGUACCAUCACACUGGGAAUUCAAUUUCAACACCUGAAUUUUGGAGGGGACACAUUCAAACCAAAGUGAUGUUCUUUAUCAGGUUAAAGAAGUUCUCUACUCUUAGUCUGCUGAGAGUUAAUAUGUUCUUUUUAAUGGCUGCAUGAAGUUCCAUGGUAUAUAUGCACAUAGUUUAUUAAAAUGAAACAUGACAAAACCA
Molecule: long non-coding RNA, 6102 nt
Organism: Homo sapiens (human)
Lineage: Eukaryota; Metazoa; Chordata; Mammalia; Primates; Hominidae
Exons: 2
Source: RefSeq, a predicted model, not a curated record